RNAcentral lists this ribosomal RNA (817 nucleotides) under Tuber gibbosum. RNAcentral describes it as "eukaryotic LSU rRNA". It matches the Rfam family "Eukaryotic large subunit ribosomal RNA", at positions 85 to 918 of the family's 3401-position model. Lineage: Eukaryota; Fungi; Ascomycota; Pezizomycetes; Pezizales; Tuberaceae. The record is from RNAcentral.
AACGGCGAGUGAAGCGGCAAAAGCUCAAAUUUGAAAUCUGGCGCCUGCAAGUGUCCGAGUUGUACUUUGGAGAGGCAUCUUCGUGAGGGGUCCAGCCUAUGUUCCUUGGAACAGGGCGUCACAGAGGGUGAGAAUCCCGUUCGUGGCUGGAUACUCCUUGCAGUAUGUAGUGUCUUCAAUGAGUCGAGUUGUUUGGGAAUGCAGCUCAAAAUGGGUGGUAAAUUUCAUCUAAAGCUAAAUAUUGGCGAGAGACCGAUAGCGCACAAGUAGAGUGAUCGAAAGAUGAAAAGCACUUUGAAAAUAGAGUCAAACAGUACGUGAAAUUGUUGAAAGGGAAGCGCUUGAGAUCAGAGUCAGCCUUUGACAAACAACAUUCCUUAUGGAUAGUGCACUUGUUAUUGGCUGGGCCAGCAUCAGUUGGGACGGUAGGAUAAAGGCCUUGGGAAUGUGACUCCCUUCCGGAGUGUUAUAGCCCUUGGUGCCAUACUGCCUGCCCUGACUGUGGACCGCGCUUCGGCUUGGAUGCUGGCUUAAUGGUCUUCAGCGGCCCGUCUUGAAACACGGACCAAGGAGUCUAACGUCUAUGCAAGUGUUUGGGCUCAAAACCCUCACGCGUAAUGAAAGUGAACGGAGGUGGGAACCCUUGCAAGGGGUGCACCAUCGACCGAUCCUGAUGUCUUCGGAUGGAUUUGAGUAGGAGCAUAGCUGUUGGGACCCGAAAGAUGGUGAACUAUGCCUGAGUAGGUGAACCCAGAGGAAACUCUGGUGGAGGCUCGCAGCGGUUCUGACGUGCAAAUCGAUCGUCAAAUUUGGGUAU